UGGCUCAGAUUGAACGCUGGCGGCAGGCCUAACACAUGCAAGUCGAACGGUAACAGGAAGCAGCUUGCUGCUUCGCUGACGAGUGGCGGACGGGUGAGUAAUGUCUGGGAAACUGCCUGAUGGAGGGGGAUAACUACUGGAAACGGUAGCUAAUACCGCAUAACGUCGCAAGACCAAAGAGGGGGACCUUCGGGCCUCUUGCCAUCGGAUGUGCCCAGAUGGGAUUAGCUAGUAGGUGGGGUAACGGCUCACCUAGGCGACGAUCCCUAGCUGGUCUGAGAGGAUGACCAGCCACACUGGAACUGAGACACGGUCCAGACUCCUACGGGAGGCAGCAGUGGGGA
Molecule: ribosomal RNA, 344 nt
Filed under: Enterobacter hormaechei subsp. steigerwaltii
Lineage: Bacteria; Pseudomonadati; Pseudomonadota; Gammaproteobacteria; Enterobacterales; Enterobacteriaceae
Description: bacterial SSU rRNA
Rfam family: Bacterial small subunit ribosomal RNA
Source: RNAcentral